This 75-nucleotide transfer RNA is filed under the name candidate division WWE3 bacterium RIFCSPLOWO2_01_FULL_53_14. RNAcentral describes it as "tRNA-Ile". It matches the Rfam family "tRNA". Rfam says of the family: Transfer RNA (tRNA) molecules are approximately 80 nucleotides in length. Their secondary structure includes four short double-helical elements and three loops (D, anti-codon, and T loops). The record is from RNAcentral. Lineage: Bacteria; candidate division WWE3.
GGGCCUGUAGCUCAGUGGUAGAGCGGGUGUCUUAUACACACCAUGUCGUAGGUUCGAAUCCUACCGGGCCCACCA